RNAcentral lists this ribosomal RNA (647 nucleotides) under Pavlova gyrans. RNAcentral describes it as "eukaryotic LSU rRNA". It matches the Rfam family "Eukaryotic large subunit ribosomal RNA", at positions 22 to 636 of the family's 3401-position model. The record is from RNAcentral. Lineage: Eukaryota; Haptophyta; Pavlovophyceae; Pavlovales; Pavlovaceae.
UACCCGUUGGAUUUAAGCAUAUCAAUAAGCGGAGGAGAAGAAAGUAACAACGAUUCCCUUAGUAACGGCGAGUGAAGAGGGAAGAGCUCAAGCUGCCAAUCUGAACUUUGAUCAGUUCCGAAUUGUAGUCUGAAGGUGUUCACUCAAGGUCCGGCCUGGUCCAAGUCCCCUGGAAAGGGGCGCCAGAGAGGGUGAGAGCCCCGUAUUUGGCUAUGGUCUGGUAUCGUUUGUGUGCUCCAGAGAGUCGGGUUGCUCGGGAUUGCAGCCUGAAUGGGAGGUAAAUUCCUCCUAAAGCUAAAUACUGGCGAGAGACCGAUAGCGAACAAGUACCGUGAGGGAAAGAUGCAAAGAACUUUGAAAAGAGAGUUAAAAAGUACCUGAACUUGUUGGGGGGAAAGCGUUUGCUUCCAGUGUGUCCUUGUCCAUUCAGCCUUUUACGGGUGCACUUGGGCUUGGGCGGUCAGGGUGGGUUUUGCGCGUCGUUGAAGGCCCCUGCGAGGCUUUCGGGCAACCGGGUGGUUUUACGUCGCUCUUGACCGAGGCUCACUUUGCGAUGGGGUCGGCUGAUCUUUGAAUCGUCUCACAAGCAACUUGUGCUCGGUUCGAGUGGCUCCUUACCUGUCUUUGAGUGUGACCCUGCCGAAAUG